Molecule: ribosomal RNA, 177 nt
Filed under: uncultured bacterium
Lineage: Bacteria
Description: partial 16S ribosomal RNA
Rfam family: Bacterial small subunit ribosomal RNA
Source: RNAcentral
GCCUACAUGAAGCUGGAGUUACUAGUAAUCGCAGAUCAGAAUGCUGCGGUGAAUGCGUUCCCGGGUCUUGUACACACCGCCCGUCACACCACGGAAGUUGGGGGUGCCCAAAGUCGGUUAGAAAAUAGACUGCCUAAGGCAAAACCAAUGACUGGGGUGAAGUCGUAACAAGGUAAC